CUUAUCAUAUUUGCCACUUUUGUUUGAGUGGUUCUUGACCUUACGUGUUUUUGCGGGCGGAUUGUUAUGGCUGCUUGGCAUUUCACAUUGCGCUUCUAAGACAAACUUCCUUUGAGGUAAAACGCACAAACAUUUCGAGCCGAUGUCGACACAUCGUGGUCGUCGUCUUCAAGAACGUCGUCAAUAAUCUAAAAUUAUAAAGCUGUCUUCAAUUUGGUAAUGCUAUAUAGCUUAGUUUUUGAUAAAAGUAAACAAAUAUUGCUAACUAUAACUAUAAUAAUCA
Xenia sp. Carnegie-2017 is the source of this 283-nucleotide long non-coding RNA. RefSeq lists it as uncharacterized. NCBI's taxonomy places the organism in Eukaryota, Metazoa, Cnidaria, Anthozoa, Malacalcyonacea, Xeniidae. The record is from RefSeq and is a predicted model, not a curated record. The transcript is spliced from 2 exons.